UUUUUUGCACCCCCCUCCUUUUAAUUAACUAAUGAAUGCCAAAAAGAUAAUUUGUCUUAUUAUUGCUGAAAAUUUAGGGAUCUUUUCCUGGAUCUUCACAUUCGCCUCCAGCUAUAGAAGAUGCAUCAGAAGCACAAGAAAAAUCUGGCGACUGGGAGAUAGAUGGAAGACUUCUGAAGAUAGGAGAAAAAAUAGCUUGUGGGUCUUGUGGAGAUCUGUAUCGUGGUAUCUACCUUGGGCAAGAUGUUGCCGUCAAAAUUCUUAGAUCUGAGCAUUUGAAUGAUACUCUUGAAGAUGAGUUUGCUCAAGAGGUGGCAGUCCGACGGGAGGUCCAGCACAGAAAUGUUGUUCCUCUCAAGUUGAAGUUCAGAGGUUAAGAAACCAGAUGGCUCAGAUGCAAGCGAGCACAGUUGAGCAAAUUGCUCAACUUAAAGCGGAGGCAGCAUCGAGAGAAGCUGAGGUUCAAAGAAAAUAUGAAGAACUCUAGCUACAACUUAAAGCGGAGGCAGUAGCGAGGGAAGCAGAGCAGAGCAGAAAGUAUGAUGCACUCUAGCUACAGCUUCAAAAUAUGAUGAAGAUGUUUCAGCAGUCGUAAAAUCCGCCAUCUUAGACAUUUGUUUUCUUAUUGUAACGCCCUAAAAUUUUAAUUUUGGGUAUUGUGAAUGUGUGAUACAAAUAUCUGUGUGCUUUAGUGGUUAUGUGUUUUGGGUGUGUUUGGUAGGUCCCAAGUUCAAGCCAGGACUUCGAUAAAUUUUGGUAUUUUUAUUGGCCAGUAAGCUUUUAGGUAAAAGUUGGCAAAAUAAUUAAUAGAAUGGGUUUGCUGGUUUGGUGGAUAA
This is an RNA transcript of Gossypium raimondii (Peruvian cotton), 836 nucleotides long. RefSeq lists it as uncharacterized. Lineage: Eukaryota; Viridiplantae; Streptophyta; Magnoliopsida; Malvales; Malvaceae. The record is from RefSeq and is a predicted model, not a curated record. The transcript has 3 exons.